Molecule: ribosomal RNA, 791 nt
Filed under: uncultured bacterium
Lineage: Bacteria
Description: bacterial SSU rRNA
Rfam family: Bacterial small subunit ribosomal RNA
Source: RNAcentral
AGAGUUUGAUCAUGGCUCAGAUUGAACGCUGGCGGCAGGCCUAACACAUGCAAGUCGAGCGGUAGAGAGAAGCUUGCUUCUCUUGAGAGCGGCGGACGGGUGAGUAAUGCCUAGGAAUCUGCCUGGUAGUGGGGGAUAACGUCCGGAAACGGACGCUAAUACCGCAUACGUCCUACGGGAGAAAGCAGGGGACCUUCGGGCCUUGCGCUAUCAGAUGAGCCUAGGUCGGAUUAGCUAGUUGGUGGGGUAAUGGCUCACCAAGGCGACGAUCCGUAACUGGUCUGAGAGGAUGAUCAGUCACACUGGAACUGAGACACGGUCCAGACUCCUACGGGAGGCAGCAGUGGGGAAUAUUGGACAAUGGGCGAAAGCCUGAUCCAGCCAUGCCGCGUGUGUGAAGAAGGUCUUCGGAUUGUAAAGCACUUUAAGUUGGGAGGAAGGGCAGUAAAUUAAUACUUUGCUGUUUUGACGUUACCGACAGAAUAAGCACCGGCUAACUCUGUGCCAGCAGCCGCGGUAAUACAGAGGGUGCAAGCGUUAAUCGGAAUUACUGGGCGUAAAGCGCGCGUAGGUGGUUCGUUAAGUUGGAUGUGAAAUCCCCGGGCUCAACCUGGGAACUGCAUUCAAAACUGACGAGCUAGAGUAUGGUAGAGGGUGGUGGAAUUUCCUGUGUAGCGGUGAAAUGCGUAGAUAUAGGAAGGAACACCAGUGGCGAAGGCGACCACCUGGACUGAUACUGACACUGAGGUGCGAAAGCGUGGGGAGCAAACAGGAUUAGAUACCCCGGUAGU